UAGCCCUGAAAAUGGAUGGCGCUGAAGCGUCGUACCCACACCCGGCCGUCGGGUCGAGUUGCAAGUCCCGACGAGUAGGAGGGCGCGGCGGUGGCCGUGCAGCCUCGGGCGCGAGUCCGGGCGAAGCCGCCGCCGGUGCGGAUCUUGGUGGUAGUAGCAAAUAUUCAAACGAGAGCUUUGAAGACUGAAGUGGGGAAGGGUUCCAUGUCGACAGCAGUUGGACAUGGGUGAGUCGAUCCUAAGAGGAGGGAGAGGUCCCCCUGCAAGGCGCAGUCGUCUCGUUGCGACGGCGCCGUUCCUCGAAAGGGAGUCGGGUUAAGAUUCCCGAACCGGGAGGCGGAUAGGCCCUCGGGCCGUGAGCGGCGACGCAAGCGAACUCGGAGACGUCGGCGGGAGCUCCGGGAAGAGUUCUCUUUUCUUCUUAACGGGCUAUCCCCCUGGAAUCAGAUUGGCUGGAGAUAGGGUCUAAUGCCCGGUAAAGCGCCACACUUGUUGUGGCGUCCGGUGCGCUCCCGACGGCCCUUGAAAAUCCGAGGGAGCGGUUGAUUUUCGCGCCCGGUCGUACCGAUAUCCGCAUCAGGUCUCCAAGGUGAACAGCCUCUAGUUGAUAGAACAAUGUAGGUAAGGGAAGUCGGCAAAACGGAUCCGU
Molecule: ribosomal RNA, 649 nt
Filed under: Phakellia ventilabrum
Lineage: Eukaryota; Metazoa; Porifera; Demospongiae; Axinellida; Axinellidae
Description: eukaryotic LSU rRNA
Rfam family: Eukaryotic large subunit ribosomal RNA
Source: RNAcentral